GAUGAACGCUGGCGGCGUGCCUAAUACAUGCAAGUCGAGCGAACAGACGAGGAGCUUGCUCCUCUGACGUUAGCGGCGGACGGGUGAGUAACACGUGGAUAACCUACCUAUAAGACUGGGAUAACUUCGGGAAACCGGAGCUAAUACCGGAUAAUAUAUUGAACCGCAUGGUUCAAUAGUGAAAGACGGUUUUGCUGUCACUUAUAGAUGGAUCCGCGCCGCAUUAGCUAGUUGGUAAGGUAACGGCUUACCAAGGCAACGAUGCGUAGCCGACCUGAGAGGGUGAUCGGCCACACUGGAACUGAGACACGGUCCAGACUCCUACGGGAGGCAGCAGUAGGGAAUCUUCCGCAAUGGGCGAAAGCCUGACGGAGCAACGCCGCGUGAGUGAUGAAGGUCUUCGGAUCGUAAAGCUCUGUUAUUGGGAAAGAACAAAUGUGUAAGUAACUAUGCACGUCUUGACGGUACCUAAUCAAAAAGCCACGGCUAACUACGUG
This 497-nucleotide ribosomal RNA is filed under the name uncultured bacterium. RNAcentral's name for it is "partial 16S ribosomal RNA". It matches the Rfam family "Bacterial small subunit ribosomal RNA", at positions 28 to 507 of the family's 1533-position model. The record is from RNAcentral.